Molecule: ribosomal RNA, 628 nt
Filed under: uncultured earthworm intestine bacterium
Lineage: Bacteria
Description: bacterial SSU rRNA
Rfam family: Bacterial small subunit ribosomal RNA
Source: RNAcentral
ACAUGCAAGUCGAGCGGAAAGGCUCCUUCGGGAGUACUCGAGCGGCGAACGGGUGAGUAACACGUGGGUAAUCUGCCCAGGACACAGGAAUAACCAGUGGAAACGCUGGCUAAUGCCUGAUGAAGUGCAGACCUGUUGGGGUUCUGUACCAAAGGUAGCUUCGGCCUCCGGUCCUGGAUGAGCCCGCGGCCCAUUAGCUUGUUGGCGGGGUAACGGCCCACCAAGGCGACGAUGGGUAGCUGGUCUGAGAGGACGAUCAGCCACACUGGGACUGAGACACGGCCCAGACUCCUACGGGAGGCAGCAGUGGGGAAUCUUGCGCAAUGGGCGAAAGCCUGACGCAGCAACGCCGCGUGCGGGAAGAAGGCCUUCGGGUUGUAAACCGCUUUCAGCGGGGAAGAAGGCGAGCGGGUUAAUAGCCCGUCAGCUGACGGUACCCGCAGAAGAAGGUCCGGCUAACUACGUGCCAGCAGCCGCGGUAAUACGUAGGGACCGAGCGUUGUCCGGAAUCAUUGGGCGUAAAGAGCGUGUAGGCGGCCACUUAAGUCCUGCGUGAAAUCUUGCGGCUCAACCGCAAGCGGUCGUGGGAAACUGGGUGGCUAGAGUGCGGGAGAGGAGAGUGGAAUUC